Molecule: long non-coding RNA, 1358 nt
Organism: Felis catus (domestic cat)
Lineage: Eukaryota; Metazoa; Chordata; Mammalia; Carnivora; Felidae
Exons: 3
Source: RefSeq, a predicted model, not a curated record
CCGAGUUACUACUGUGCGCAGCUAGAGUUUAAGCCUGCCGCGGUCCCUGUGAGAGUCACUGCAGGGCAUGCCUCAGUUUCCCUCCUGCAAGGAGAGGAAGGUACAGUCUCGGGUGCAGGCUGCUGGAGCGUGGAGAGAUCCAGGGGCCAGAGAAAGCCCUGAGGCAAAGAGAGGCUGAUCGUAGCAGCAGGAAGGGUGGGGGUGCACCAACAGGGUGAGGCCUGCCCCAGGAGCGGGGCGCGAGGGACUUCCGCUAUGCCUUUGUGACAUGUCCGGCUUCGCCACCUCUGUUGUAGCCCUUUUGGUCCAGCCCUGACCCAAGAGGAGAUCGCCUGUCAUCCUAGUCCUUGUCCGACUCGAUGGCUUUUCUGUGCUGUGUUAGCAUGACAGCAUAUGUGUGGGUUUGAGGGGCCGUGGACUGAGGCAAGGUGCCCACUGUCCCACGGAAGGAACAGCGCCUGCCUUGUAUCGCCUUGUUCUCUCUCCCAAAUCCCGCUUGUGGCCGACCUUCUCCAGGGGGCUGACGACAGGGCCCGAGCCCCGGGUCCUCUCUUUCCUCCUUGCUAUCCGGCCGGUCUGGCUCCUUCCUCCCAGAACAUUUCGAUCCUUCAAGUUCUCCGCUCCUUUGUUCGAUGUAACAUUAACCAGCUACCCGGUUUCCGUGGUGAGGUGCGGGGGGAUUAACUGGAGGGAAGAGAUGAACGAUCCUUUUCUAGGUCCAAUCUCCAGAUCUGGAUGCUGUAAACUGAGAGUGGGUGAGGCUAGCCCACUGGAUGUAGCCAAGGGUUCCUGCCUUCUGGAGUGUAGCUACACUGAGCUGUGACGGGCACCGGGGACAGGGAAGUACACAAAGACCCGAAGCCAAGCUUGCGGGCCUCGAGACUUACGGCUCAGGGCACAAGUCUCCGCUGUUUGCCAGCGGGGUGUCGUCGGGCAAGUCGUUUCACUUCUCUCUGUCCCUGUUUCCUGGUCUAUAAAAUGGAAACAACGAUAGUGCCCGCUUCGUGGAGCUCUUGCAACGGUAAGACACGCGGGAAAAUUCCCUUGCCUGGCACACAGUAAGAGUUUGGCAAACGAGAGCUGUUUCUACCUCUUGUCACCAUCACCGGCAUCACCACCAUCAUCACCGUUACGGUCAUUGUUGUCUGGGCUUCCGGAAAUACCAACACUGAGCAGCGGGCUUUCAUAAGGACGGGGGCCCGUGCAUCGAGAAGGAGCAAAGAUGAGGAAACGGAGGCCCUAGAAGAACUGUGAAGGGGAAAAAUCAGGACUGGACCACUGGAAUGCUGUGCUCCCGACUCCUCAUCGGGGCUCUCUCUGUCCUUCGGCUCAGAGAGGAGGCAUCGCCCCACGACAAG